This 497-nucleotide ribosomal RNA is filed under the name uncultured bacterium. RNAcentral's name for it is "partial 16S ribosomal RNA". It matches the Rfam family "Bacterial small subunit ribosomal RNA", at positions 28 to 507 of the family's 1533-position model. The record is from RNAcentral.
GAUGAACGCUGGCGGCGUGCCUAAUACAUGCAAGUCGAGCGAACAGACGAGGAGCUUGCUCCUCUGACGUUAGCGGCGGAAGGGUGAGUAACACGUGGAUAACCUACCUAUAAGACGGGGAUAACUUCGGGAAACCGGAGCUAAUACCGGAUAAUAUAUUGAACCGCAUGGUUCGAUAGUGAAAGACGGUGUUGCUGUCACUUAUAGAUGGAUCUGCGCCGCAUUAGCAGGUUGGUAAGGUAACGGCUUACCAAGGGAACGAUGCGUAGCCGACCUGAUAGAGGGACAGCCAACAUGGGACUGGGACACGGGCCAGGCUUCCUCGGGAGGGCACAAGUAGGGAACCUUCGGAAAUGGCGGAAGGCUUGCCGGACCACCGCGGCGGGAGGAAUGCGGGCCUCGGGAUCGAAAGCUUCUGUUAUCGGGACGAAACACAUGUGUAAGUAAAUGUAGAAGGAUUGACGGUACCUAAUCAGAAAGCCACGGCUAACUACGUG